RNAcentral lists this long non-coding RNA (239 nucleotides) under Gossypium barbadense (sea-island cotton). RNAcentral describes it as "long non-coding RNA (GBAR_LNC007564)". Lineage: Eukaryota; Viridiplantae; Streptophyta; Magnoliopsida; Malvales; Malvaceae. The record is from RNAcentral.
AGACGCUCCUCGAACCUUCCAGAAUUUGUUGCGGCGCAAGGGGAAAGAGAGGCAGAAACCCUAGGGUUUCAUGCCUCGGUAUAAUGGUUUGGGCCAGUUGGGCCACUGUUGUUUGGGUCUAAUUUAGGUCUGCUGAGUAGUAACCGGGUAAAUGGUUUUUUGGGCUAAUUGGGUUACAGGUGUAACGGCUUUGGGCUUAUCAGGCUUUGAGGCCUGUUUAUUUGUAAAUGGACUUUAAU